Molecule: ribosomal RNA, 151 nt
Filed under: Laribacter hongkongensis
Lineage: Bacteria; Pseudomonadati; Pseudomonadota; Betaproteobacteria; Neisseriales; Aquaspirillaceae
Description: partial 16S ribosomal RNA
Rfam family: Bacterial small subunit ribosomal RNA
Source: RNAcentral
GAACUAAAGAGUUUGAUCCUGGCUCAGAUUGAACGCUGGCGGCAUGCUUUACACAUGCAAGUCGAACGGUAACAGGGACUUCGGUCUGCUGACGAGUGGCGAACGGGUGAGUAAUGCAUCGGAACGUACCGAGUAAUGGGGGAUAACGCAU